This 228-nucleotide ribosomal RNA is filed under the name uncultured bacterium. RNAcentral's name for it is "partial 16S ribosomal RNA". It matches the Rfam family "Bacterial small subunit ribosomal RNA", at positions 568 to 795 of the family's 1533-position model. The record is from RNAcentral.
CGUGUAGGCGGACUCGCAAGUCGGUUGUGAAAUCCCUGGGCUUAACCUAGGAACUGCAUCCGAAACUGCUUGUCUUGAGUAAUGGAGAGGGUGGCGGAAUUCCCGGUGUAGAGGUGAAAUUCGUAGAUAUCGGGAGGAACAUCAGUGGCGAAGGCGGCCACCUGGACAUUUACUGACGCUGAGACGCGAAAGCGUGGGGAGCAAACAGGAUUAGAUACCCUGGUAGUC